This 1355-nucleotide long non-coding RNA is filed under the name Patiria miniata (bat star). RNAcentral describes it as "uncharacterized LOC119736061, transcript variant X2". The record is from RNAcentral. Lineage: Eukaryota; Metazoa; Echinodermata; Asteroidea; Valvatida; Asterinidae.
GUGCUGGGCUAGCCCUUCAUUACUGUCGUUGUGCUCCUCACGCUCACUGCAUGCAACUCAUUACACUGUUCAAAAUUAUCAUUUUGGCUCUGUAUAAAAUUGUUUAUUCCAAUUGAACGUGCACAUUGUGUCCAAUUGAUAUUGUACUAUCAAAGACAUCGUUACCAUUUACUCCAAGAUCAACACCAAGAGUGGCAAUGUCUUCAAGAGUAGAAAGAGGCCCAGUGUUUUCGUACCACUGUCCACUUAGGAAAGAGUUGCAGCUUUCAUCAAAGAAACUGAUGAUCUAAAAGUUGAGACAGACUGGAUGAGCUAGGCUGCUUUGUCUGGACGAAAAUGAACCGACGAUGGACUGACACCGCCCGCUGGCCUGGCCAUUACUGAUUCUUGAGGACAUGAGGACCACCAAGCUUGGACGAGACUGGACAAUGACGAAGCUGCUCUACUGGACAAGGAUGCCCUCAUUGGAAACUUGAGUUAAAAAAAACUAGCCUGUACAAUAUGAAAUGAUAAAUCGACUGCAUAAUGCAACGUCAUUAAUGUUAUACACUAAGGCAACAACAAUAAAAUAAAAUGAAAAGUAAUUUUGAUUUCAUUAAAUUAUUUAUGCCUCUAAAAUAAUCUUAAACCGGAUACUGCAACAGACAGUUAACAAUGGACAAUAAUGGAAACUUGCUGAACAAUUAUUGUAAGGGUAAUAAUUUGUCACUGGCUUUUUAGCAGUGACCUGUCUGAGAGAAGGGAUGUUCCUUUGAUCUGUCCUUGGUCAUCCAAAAUUAUUGCACCAAUAAGUUAAUAUUUCAUACUCCUUACCUUAAUGCAUUCAAUUGGAUCUUCUCGGUAAAUUAUAAACGAGGUUUUGCCUAAGGCUUUCUAUUUGCUUUUUGUUCAGUUGACAAUGGAGAAUUUUGCUCUAUAAAUUUAAUUUGAUAUUGAAAGUGCAUUUUUAAGAAAACCAAUUUAAGUCAUAAGAGUUUUGAAAGAUUUCAAAAAGGAUUAAUUUAUUGUUUAAAAACUGAAGAAAUGUAACAAACUUUAUUUAAAUUUAACGUCUUUAACAAGACGUCGGUUAACUAAAACGUGACUUUCUUUCCAUUGUAUAUUUAUUAGAAAACACCAGAACGUUUAAUUUUUAGGAAAAUUUAAAGAAACUGUUCAGGAACUUCUAUCCAUCAAAAUGUAUUGCAACAGGUGUAAGUGACACUCAAAUUACAUUUGUGUUUGUCCUUUUGUGAUUUAUUUCAUUGCACUUUUUUUACUUGUUAUAUUUUGUACUUCGUAUGCACAAUUGUUUUUCUUGGUGGUUUUGCAUGUCUUUUCAUUUUCUUAUUAAUAAUUAACUAACCUCACAAAAG